CAGUCGCCACGGUAAUACGAAGGGGGCUAGCGUUGUUCGGAAUUACUGGGCGUAAAGCGCACGUAGGCGGAUAUUUAAGUCAGGGGUGAAAUUCCAGAGCUCAACUCUGGAACUGCCUUUGAUACUGGGUAUCUUGAGUAUGGAAGAGGUGAGUGGAAUUCCGAGUGUAGAGGUGAAAUUCGUAGAUAUUCGGAGGAACACCAGUGGCGAAGGCGGCUCGCUGGUCCAUUACUGACGCUGAGGUGCGAAAGCGUGGGGAGCAAAUGGGAUUAGAUACCCCUGUAGUCCCUGUCUCUUAUAU
This 301-nucleotide ribosomal RNA is filed under the name uncultured bacterium. RNAcentral describes it as "partial 16S ribosomal RNA". It matches the Rfam family "Bacterial small subunit ribosomal RNA", at positions 509 to 809 of the family's 1533-position model. The record is from RNAcentral.